This 433-nucleotide ribosomal RNA is filed under the name uncultured bacterium. RNAcentral's name for it is "partial 16S ribosomal RNA". It matches the Rfam family "Bacterial small subunit ribosomal RNA", at positions 29 to 507 of the family's 1533-position model. The record is from RNAcentral.
AACGAACGCUGGCGGCAUGCCUAACACAUGCAAGUCGAACGAGACCUUCGGGUCUAGUGGCGCACGGGUGCGUAACGCGUGGGAACCUGCCCUUAGGUUCGGAAUAACUCCCCGAAAGGGGUGCUAAUACCGGAUAAUGUCUUCGGACCAAAGAUUUAUCGCCUUUGGAUGGGCCCGCGUUGGAUUAGCUAGUUGGUAGGGUAAAAGCCUACCAAGGCGACGAUCCAUAGCUGGUCUGAGAGGAUGCUCAGCCACACUGGGACUGCGACACGGCCCAGACUCCUACGCGAGGCAGGAGUGGGGAAUAUUGGACACUGGGCGAAAGCCUGAUCCAGCCAUGCCGCGUGAGUGAUGAAGGCCUUAGGGUUGUAAAGCUCUUUUACCCGGGAUGAUAAUGACAGUACCGGGAGAAUAAGCUCCGGCUAACUCCGUG